This 750-nucleotide ribosomal RNA is filed under the name Vibrio sediminis. RNAcentral's name for it is "Vibrio sp. HA2012 Bacterial large subunit ribosomal RNA". It matches the Rfam family "Bacterial large subunit ribosomal RNA", at positions 512 to 1266 of the family's 2925-position model. Lineage: Bacteria; Pseudomonadati; Pseudomonadota; Gammaproteobacteria; Vibrionales; Vibrionaceae. The record is from Rfam by way of RNAcentral.
AGGCGAAAAGAACCCCUGUGAGGGGAGUGAAAUAGAACCUGAAACCGUGUACGUACAAGCAGUAGGAGCACCUUCGUGGUGUGACUGCGUACCUUUUGUAUAAUGGGUCAGCGACUUAUAUUCAGUGGCAAGGUUAACCGCAUAGGGGAGCCGUAGGGAAACCGAGUCUUAACUGGGCGCUUUAGUCUCUGGAUAUAGACCCGAAACCGAGUGAUCUAGCCAUGGGCAGGUUGAAGGUUGAGUAACAUCAACUGGAGGACCGAACCGACUAAUGUUGAAAAAUUAGCGGAUGACUUGUGGCUAGGGGUGAAAGGCCAAUCAAACUCGGAGAUAGCUGGUUCUCCCCGAAAGCUAUUUAGGUAGCGCCUCGGACGAAUACUACUGGGGGUAGAGCACUGUUAAGGCUAGGGGGUCAUCCCGACUUACCAACCCUUUGCAAACUCCGAAUACCAGUAAGUACUAUCCGGGAGACACACGGCGGGUGCUAACGUCCGUCGUGGAGAGGGAAACAACCCAGACCGCCAGCUAAGGUCCCAAAUGAUUACUAAGUGGGAAACGAUGUGGGAAGGCUCAGACAGCUAGGAUGUUGGCUUAGAAGCAGCCAUCAUUUAAAGAAAGCGUAAUAGCUCACUAGUCGAGUCGGCCUGCGCGGAAGAUGUAACGGGGCUAAGUAAUCAACCGAAGCUGCGGCAAUGCAUUUUAUGUAUUGGGUAGGGGAGCGUUCUGUAAGCCGUUGAAGGUGUGUGGUAA